CCAGGCGCCCGGCUUCCCCCGGCACCAGACUUCUGCUCGCCGUUCUCACAAGAUACAACGAGCAGGCGCCGCGAACGCGCCCCAGGUGACGUCAUCGCGCCGGGCCCAGGGGUCACGUGAUCCCGCGCGCGGCCUUCGGCGGACUGCGUAGUGACGUAGGCGCGGGCGUGCGCGGCAGAAGCCAUGGCUGGUGGAUGAGGCGUGUUUGUGCGGCCGCGGGCCGCUGCCGGGCAUCGUCGUCAUCCGAGGCCAUCGAGGGCCCCAGGUGGUACCUGCGCUCUGCUGAGGCCAGGUGAAGGCUUCCAGUGGACGCGGAUCCCUUCAGUCCAACUGCAGAGGCUGAGCACACCAGCCUCCACGCGGCUGCGUCUGGGGACACUUGCCCAUGAGUCUCUAGUUUCUGCAGUCCUCGGAGCGAGGUGCCGGCUGCCCUUUUGCCCAGAUUGCCUUUUCAAGGAUCUUCAAGUAGCAGACAGCCUUGAGAUGUGUGAGGUAGCGCCUCCCUCCAGAGCAGAAAGCAGCAUCUGUGAAACUGGAGUUUGUCUGCUGUCGGAUGGGAGCUAAAUCAGACCUUGACCUCCCCCAGCAGACUCUGCUCUGCGUCCCUGCCCUAGCGCAUAACAGGAAGUGCCUGCCACCCCCCAGUGUUUCAGAAAGCCCGGGAUGCCAGAACUAGAAGAGACCUGAGAGAGGAUCCCUUUGGUGGCUGUCAGGCUGUCCAUGGAAUCUGCAGUGGUAUGUAUGCAGGAAGGGUCGGGCCUAACAAGUCACUUCGCUUCUGUUUUAUAUGUUAGUUUUCCGUGAAUCCCCUGGCCAAGAAGUUUAAAACCAUUGACUUAUUCUGACCCUCCCUUAUUAUAGGUCAGAUGAUUGAGUCCCAGAAAGGUUAAUUGCCUUCAAGCCCACAAGACUACAUUGUGGACAGGCAGUUUUCCAGUGUCUGGAUUGUGGGGCUUUGAUUCUUUGGCAUUUGGUUGCCUUUGUGGUUUUGGGUUCGACGCGCCACGUUUUCCCCAGGAAUCUCCUCGGUCAGUGAUGUGCUGGCCUAGAAAGGGCAGGCUGCUGCGAAGUCUCAUCACAGAGGCCUCCUCAACUGAAGGUGGAGUCAGGAGUGGGAACCCAAGUUCAGUUCUGUUAUUGCCACUCAGUGGCAAUUGGCAUUUGUAAUAAUCCCUGGCUAUGUGUUUACGUCACUCAUUUUUCACAGCAGGCCUCUGAGGUGUUUCCAAUUUCCUCAUUUUUCCGGAGUUGUGGCCUGUCUACGCUGACGCACCUAAUAAGGUUGCAGCAGAAUUUGAACCAGGCCUUUGCACUUGGGUUCUCUGAGCAACUUCAACGCCUCCCUUACUCCCCUGCUAGGAAGAGUCAGGAAUUUCCGGUUCUGGGCCCAGGCUGGGGUGUGGGUGGCUCGGGGCCUGGGGUGUGUGUCUGACUGACAUUCUCUGACCCCAGGUGUGGGCGCUGUAUCUGCCUCCAGAACAAGAAUCCUCGCUGUGCGGCUGACCCCGUGGCUGAGUUGUUAAGUUCGUGCUCUCCACUGCAGGCAGCCCAGUGUUUCGUUGGUUCGAAUCCUGGGCGUGAACGUGGCACUGCUCAUCAAACCACGCUGAGGCAGCGUCCCACAUGCCACAACUAGAAGGACCCACAACGAAGAAUAUACAACUAUGUACCGGGGGGGUUUUGGGGAGAAAAAAAGAAAAAUAAAAUCUUUAAAAAAAUUAAUAAUUAAAAAAAAAAAAGAAUCCUCGCUGUGCAUCAGGACCCAGGUCUCUCUGACAUCUCCUGAAUAAGGAGAAAGACAUAUGUAAUAAACAGUUUUAAAUGUGUGAUUUAGUCUAGCCUCUGUUUCUUUCUCCUUUCCAUAUGUUAGAUACAAAGAGGAAGAAGACCUUGCCAUGCUUGAAUGAGUUUCAUCUGAGUCCAAGGGAGCCCCAGGGUGUCUGACAUUGUCAGUGCGUGUGCCUUUGUAAACUGCAGAGUGGGUGAUGGGG
RNAcentral lists this long non-coding RNA (1991 nucleotides) under Equus asinus (donkey). Its description in RNAcentral is "lncRNA (ENSEASG00005028060.1)". The record is from RNAcentral. Lineage: Eukaryota; Metazoa; Chordata; Mammalia; Perissodactyla; Equidae.